This 539-nucleotide ribosomal RNA is filed under the name Vibrio parahaemolyticus. RNAcentral describes it as "bacterial SSU rRNA". It matches the Rfam family "Bacterial small subunit ribosomal RNA", at positions 1004 to 1533 of the family's 1533-position model. The record is from RNAcentral. Lineage: Bacteria; Pseudomonadati; Pseudomonadota; Gammaproteobacteria; Vibrionales; Vibrionaceae.
AGAUGGAUUGGUGCCUUCGGGAACUCUGAGACAGGUGCUGCAUGGCUGUCGUCAGCUCGUGUUGUGAAAUGUUGGGUUAAGUCCCGCAACGAGCGCAACCCUUAUCCUUGUUUGCCAGCGAGUAAUGUCGGGAACUCCAGGGAGACUGCCGGUGAUAAACCGGAGGAAGGUGGGGACGACGUCAAGUCAUCAUGGCCCUUACGAGUAGGGCUACACACGUGCUACAAUGGCGCAUACAGAGGGCGGCCAACUUGCGAAAGUGAGCGAAUCCCAAAAAGUGCGUCGUAGUCCGGAUUGGAGUCUGCAACUCGACUCCAUGAAGUCGGAAUCGCUAGUAAUCGUGGAUCAGAAUGCCACGGUGAAUACGUUCCCGGGCCUUGUACACACCGCCCGUCACACCAUGGGAGUGGGCUGCAAAAGAAGUAGGUAGUUUAACCUUCGGGGGGACGCUUACCACUUUGUGGUUCAUGACUGGGGUGAAGUCGUAACAAGGUAGCGCUAGGGGAACCUGGCGCUGGAUCACCUCCUUAUGCGAUGAU